Long non-coding RNA from Stegostoma tigrinum, 380 nucleotides. RefSeq lists it as uncharacterized. NCBI's taxonomy places the organism in Eukaryota, Metazoa, Chordata, Chondrichthyes, Orectolobiformes, Stegostomatidae. The transcript is spliced from 3 exons. The record is from RefSeq and is a predicted model, not a curated record.
AUUUCACAAUUCUCAGUAAAGCUUUGAAGAAAGGAUUGGAGUCAGCUUUGGAUGGUUUAUCUGAAACACACCACAGCAAGCUGCUAGACAGCUUCACAAUGCUUUUUUAUGACACUACAACAAGAUUGGUCCUUUGAGUUUUAAACUGCGGCGUAAUGGCAACGAUAAAUAUUCCCCCCAUGUCACAGCAGGACUUCGAUACAAUAAGGAUCUGUACAUUAAUGUGGCUGAAAGUGCUUCAAAUAUAAAAGCUUCUGGAUUCAGUCUUCUGGAUGCUGCACUCACAAAGGUUCCACUGAGAGAUGAGUUGUCUGAUUAACAGGAUUUUUACAUCACAUUGGGAAUGCCUUUCAAUUGAAGCAGGAAAUGGCGUUAAACCA